This 362-nucleotide long non-coding RNA is filed under the name Ananas comosus (pineapple). RNAcentral describes it as "long non-coding RNA (ACOM_LNC001179)". The record is from RNAcentral. Lineage: Eukaryota; Viridiplantae; Streptophyta; Magnoliopsida; Poales; Bromeliaceae.
UUUCAAUAGGAGUGUAGAUCUUAUGCCCACGUUACUUGGGUUUAUAAAAAUUUAAGUAAUAUUUAGUAAAAAAGAUUGAUAUUAUAAGUAGAGAAUGAUGGCUCAUGGAUGAAGAAAGUGUUGUUAUGUAUUUUUGGGUUGGCAUAUUUUGUGACUUAUCGUGAUGAGUCGUUUAGGUUGAGUCGGAGUCUUAAAGGAUUAAAAAAGAGAGGAUGAAGCUUGAAGACUUGAAGACUCAAUAUUUGAAUUCACGAUGCUUGGUAAGUCUUUAUAAAGUUAAUGGUGAUUUAUGAACAUUUACAAGUGUUUGGAAGACAUUAGAAUAGAUAAAAAUUGAUUUAAAAUAUAAAAAUUAAGUUUUU